Nicotiana tabacum (common tobacco) is the source of this 4201-nucleotide RNA transcript. RefSeq lists it as uncharacterized. The record is from RefSeq and is a predicted model, not a curated record. NCBI's taxonomy places the organism in Eukaryota, Viridiplantae, Streptophyta, Magnoliopsida, Solanales, Solanaceae.
UCCCCUUCCCGUCGGCUUCGCUCAAAUAGGAUUAGGGUUUUCCUUUUUCCCUUUCCUUUUCAGUGGAGUAAACGGGUAAAUUGCAUUUCCAAAAACCCGAAACUGAACAGCGCUUUUAGUCAGAUGUUUGGAAUUGGUAAAAAUGGUGCAACAAGGCAUUUGUAUUGCAUCAGACUUAAACUCUUUUGUUCCACAACAACUACAGCAAAUGCAGAGCCCAACUUAAUGUCAGAAUUUCUGGUGAAUUCACUUGGGUUCUCCACAGAAAAAGCUAUUUCUGCAAGCUCCAAGGUAACUUGCUUGAAACCCAGAAAUAACCACAAACCUGAAUUAGUUGUUAAUUUCUUCAAACAAAUCGGUUUAGACAAUGCCCAGAUCAAAAUGUUGGUCUCUCCCGCACCUAGGUUGCUGUUUGCUGACGUGGACAAAACCCUUAAACCCAAAAUUAAGGUUUUUCAAGAACUUGGCUUUUCUGGGGCCCAUUUAGUUAGGGUCCUUUCAAGAAGUGGGGCUUUUCUCAGAACAGGCCUGAAUACAGGCAUUAGACCAAGUAUUGAAUAUCUUAGGAAAUUAUUGGGAACUGAUGAUUAUGUAGCUAAGGCUAUUAAGAGAACUCCUGGAUUGCUUAGCUAUCCUCUCCAGAGAGUAAUGUCACCUAAUAUUUCAUUCCUGCAAAAUCUUGGAUGUUCGACUUUGGAUAUUCGAAAGCUUAUUCUUAGGAAUCCGAGAAUUUUUGUUCAAAAGACUGAAUGGCUUGAGGAUAUUGUGCAAAGAGUGGAAAAGGAUUUUUGCAUUUGUAGGGAUUCUCGGAUGUUUUUCUAUGGAGUGGAAAUGCUCUCGUCGCUUAGUAAGUCGAAUUUGGAAAUGAAACUUGGAAUUUUCAGGAGUUUUGGCUGGUCUGAAUCUGAUAUUAUUAUGAUGGUGCAAAGGCUUCCUUUAUGUUUGACUACGUCCGAGGUUAAGCUUAGAAAUAUAUUGAAAUUUUACAUGGAGGAGCUUGGGUACGAAUCUAGUUACAUAGCUUCUCAUCCCACGCUCUUAAUGUUCAGUUUUGAGAAGCGGGUCUUGCCAAGGAAUAAAAUCUUGGAACUUCUAAAGGAGAAGCAACUGAUAAAGAAAAUGCCAUGUUUUUAUACGGUUAUCAAGUGUUCUGAGUCGGAGUUUUUAGAAAAUUAUGUCCUGCCCUUAAGGGAUGAGAUGCCUGAGGUGUAUGAUUUUUACAUCAAAGGUCGAAACUAAGAUAGUAAGUUUAUUGUUUUCUCAUACAAGGAUUUCCUGGUUUAUGAAUACUGUUAGUUUUAAUUGUAAUUCUGGCUGCUAUUGUGUCAACAUUCAUUGAUGAAACUGGUGAUUGAGGACAUUAUCAUUCCGAAAUCAUGUAAUCCAUUUUGGUUUGAUAACAGAAAAGUGAUAACCCUUUUGCUGUUUGGAACAUCAAUGAUCUGAAGGCAUGCCUUAACGAGGGUGAUUAUUGUUUAUUAUUGAUCAUGAGGUUUUGCUCCUUAAGACACUAAUACAUAAACCAGGGGAGGUGAGCAAAUACUUCAGAAGAGAUUGUUAUAAAUCUCUUACAUUAGCCUGUUUAAGCUUUGAUCGCAGGGUAUGUUAUUACUUUAAUAAAAAAAGAACAAAAGGAAAAAAGGCACCUGAGGAAGAGUGAGAGGGAGAAAUAAGAGCAGUUACAUUAAACUAUAACAGUCGCAACAAAAUGAAAUAUAUUUUUCCUUCUUAUUGUGACGGCACUUGUUUCCAAAACAUCUUUCUUAACCUUCUGGGUUCACAGUCUUUCAUAAAACUGGAGAGCAUCUAUUAUGUUGAGAAAACUGCAAAUAUUUUAUUUCACCCCUCUCCGUCUUUUUCUUGGUUAAAUACCAUUGCGUAAACUGACACUGGAUGCACUGUUCCGUUAAGUCAUUAGUUAACUCAAAAACAGCAAAGCACUAUAUUGAUUGGAAGCUGGUGUUUGUCUGCCAUAGAUAAAAAGAGAUUAGACCUCCUCUGAUCGCAGAAAGAGUUCAUUGAACAACUUAUGUUUUAUGACAAAGAAAACUCUCCAUAUUUUAUUUUUCAAGGCCUCACUGUAGCUGCGCUUCGCUUCACCUGCACAAACAAAAGGUGAACAACUGAUUUUUAAAAUGUUUCCUUUUCAAAUAUAUAAUUUGAGAGCUGUUUAAAGUAUUUCGGUGAAUCUAUGAUAAGAUGGAAACUAUUUCUCUAAAUAUUAGGUUUGUCACUUUAUUAGUUCUUUGUUAUAUUUGGUUCAAACCCAGUACCCUAUCAUAGCUUUUUUCUCCUUGUAAGGUAAAAGAAAAAGUACUAAUAAGGAAAAAAUAUCACUAGUUACUGCAGAACUGCAACUUGAUUGACUUAAGUAUUGUAUCUCAGAUCUCCAUGUCCUCUAAUGUCAUGGCACAUAGAUCUCUGUGUAGCUUCUGCAAAGCUAGGAAAUGAUCUCGCCAUCUUUUAAUCUGCUGUAAGUUGACCCUCUGUGCUGUAGGUUCUCAAAAGACCCCUCAGGACCUUCAUUUUCUUGGGUUCUUGAUUUACUGUGUAGUGUCUUUUUGAUGGGUUUUGACACAAGAAUACUCAUGAUGGAUUGGUUUCAUCAUCUUCUUCACUUUCUGAAAAAUCUCGCUAAGAGUUUUGAAGAUGAGGUGAGGCCCAUGGCAAAGUCAUAUCUGGUUCGUUGCAUAUUUUCUUUCAACAUGUGUUGAUAUUGGUGUGCUGGAAUGACUAUAUUUUGGUUGGUCGAUUUAGAGGUGCAGAACGUCAUGGUUAUUAAUUUACAAGUUGUUAGCAACCUUUAAGGUUUGGAACUAGAUUUCUAACUGGGUAAACAAAUCACUCUUUUCCAUUCUCUCGUCCCUGUAGGCGGAGGAGAAUGCUUGUCAGCGUAGAGGAAAUACUGGUGGUAAGGUUUCUGUACUUUGUAACAUCAAGGAGAGAUAGGAACCAAGGACCGUACACAUAGCUCGAAGUAGAUUUGGUUUAAGAAUGAAAAUUAACAGCUAUUUGUUAGAAUAUAUGUUCCCCACUUGUGAGACUACACUAAGUUUGUUGUUGUUGUUGUUGUUGUUGUUGUUGUUGUUGACUUGUUGUUGUAUAUGCAGAAAAUAUGAUGUCUAAUGUUUAUUCUAAACAAUGACAUGUGAAACAGGUCACUUUGAGUUGAAAGUCGGCCAUGGUCAGGGUACUCCAUAGCCUCCAACUCUCUGCCUUCCAUGUUCCAUACUUUCCUUCUCCCAAUCUGUUCUAGUGCACGGGUUUCUGUUCCACGAGGGGUCACUCAGGGCAUUCAGUAUAGGAAGCGAGCAUAUGCUUGAAGAAGAUUGGGCUAGAAAAUCAAUGGAUAGGUGUAGGUGAAAGCUACUUAUAUUGAGUUUUCUGGAAAACGUUAACUUAGGCUUUUAAUUUGAAUUUAUGCUAUGAAAUAAUAGCAAUGUCAUCUUUCACGUUUAUGUCUGUCUUCCCUCUUUCUCACCACUCUUUUGUUCCAUCUCAAGUCAACAAGUGCCUAGAUCUUAGUAUCUGUACUUGGUGGUGAAUUUAUGUCCAUUUAUCGGUGUAGGAGUUCUGUUCUUAACAGUUUUGCAGGUUGCCUUAAGUUCUUUGACAGAUGACGACAAUCAGGUCUAUGUAACUUGCUGAGUCCUUGCUGUUGCAGUCCUACGUUCCUUUUGGUGUAUAAUUACAAGUUUACAAUGCCUUUGAUUUUGCCAUAGCGGUUUGUGUACAUUGGUGGUCAGUCGGAAAUUUUGAGGAGAAUUUAAAAGAAAUACAAGAAUGCCUCAUCGAACCAUCUUUAUCUCCAUACCAAAAGCUUUUCUUUUGUCAAGGAGAUUUAACAAUUAAAUGUAAACAAAAAAGGGGGUUUUACCCUAUUUGCGCUCUAUUAUUUUCCGACAUAGGGGAUUCAAUUAAACUUUCUUCCUUGCAUCUAAGUCUGCCCUUGGUUGUAGUGGGAAAUUGUGGUAUGGUUGUUUGAGCUUGCUUGAGUCCGAAUUGGAAGCUUGACUUGUGCCUUUUAAUUUGCAAUCUCAAUUGCUGAGGUCCUGAAGAUGGCAAAUCUGCAAAGGAUCAAUUCCAAAAAGUCAACCAAAGUCUUGUACAACUAGGUCAUCGAUGGGUGAAAUCCAUUUUUGACUUGCGCGUUAUCUAUUUUUUUAGCGGAUAAUAUGGGCUCAUAUUUGGCCCGUUUUUA